AGGAUCUUGUGUUUGUGGCCUCCGCAGCCAGCUUAGGCUGCUCGGUGUCGUGUCGCAGUUAUGUACUGCCAUUUAUUAUGACUCUUAGAAUAUAGUUAUUUCUUACUCUUCCGCUGCCUCCUUUGCUUUUAAAGCCUGUUCUGCCAAGUCUCGCUGGAGAAGGAAACCCCUGAAACUGGUCCUGGUGGUCUCAGACCGCCGCGCGAGCGAAGAGUGGGGAGGACAAAGGUUGGGGAGUUGAGAAGGAUGGAGAUGGGUGCAUCUGGAAGGGAGUCCGUCCUGAGGAGUCCCCCAUCAGCUGUCAGCCAGCCAGCAGCAAAGCAAAUUAAGACUACACAGCUCCGAAGAAGCCAGUUCCCAACCAAGCCAGUGGAGAAAAGUCAGCCCGGUCCCCAGGAGUGCUUGAGGCUCUGUCACUCUUGGACGUCAAAAAGGGUCAUUUGAUGACUGGACGCUUACCUCACCGGUGUGAGGUAAGCUUCAAACGCCGUAUCAUGUUGCUUUAAAACCUGCGGGUAACAGCAUAAGCUGAGUUUUCUAUCUUAGAACUCUUAACCCCAAGAACACUCUUCACAGGCCCUGAUAGGUGGACCCACAAAAAAACCACUCAGGCUAUAUUUGACUCGGAUUUGAAACGCUGCCGAAACGGUAUUAAGUGUCCUCCUCAACUGGAAAAGACAAAUAACAAAUGAUGCCUGAAUGAGAAAAAGACUAGACGUGCACACAGUAAUGUGUGAGCAGGGAAACUUCAGCGAAGGUUUUUAUCAUGCUUUACCCCUUUUACAUGCUUUACCCCAUGUGCAAACAUUUUUCAUGGGUUUUUUUCUAUUUUUUAUUUAUUUUUAUUCUAUUUUUUUAUUUAUACACAAAAAAGUUUCAAUGAUUUUUUAAAGAGUAAUAGUUUUAAUAUGUUACAUUUAAACUUUGACGAUGCAAACAGGUUGUCAAGAGAAGCAACUGAGCAUUGUUUGGUUGGUAAGAAAAUUUAUUAUACUAGAAGCUACCGCAUAAUUCACUGUGCAAUUUGCUUGCCCUAAUUGCCUAAAUAUUUAGUUACAGUUCUGUACACUUGCAAGGAUGAGGGGAAGGGAACUGAAGUUUAGCGUGUCACUGUGGAUCAGGCACUUUCCAAAUGUAGAAGAAAAUGAACAGAAACAUUUCACCUGUUUUGAUGUGGAAAUUUAACCGUUUUGUUUUUCAACCUUUGCUGUUGCAAAGUAUUAAAGUCCUGUGCAGUUUUGCAAAUAUAUCUCACCGCAGAAAGAUCUCCUUUCCUAAGAAGACUGGGAAGAACGGCUUUCCACUUGCCAGUAAUGUGUCCUCUGGUUUCAAUUGAGCCAUCAGUGUCUGUACUCCAGCCUGGGCUACCAAGCGAUACCCCACCUCUGAAAAAAGGGUAGCAAGGGGACAGAGAAGAGCUGUCUGGAUACACGAGAUUCCAAAAACCUAAUCCUGAGAUAAAAUUCCCUAGGGAAUUGCUCUACCGAGAGUAGAGAUUUGACCUGGAAAGAGAAGGGAGAGAAGUAUUUAAUCAUUAACUCUUUUAAUCCUCCCAACAACCUUUUUAGUAUCAUUUUUCAAAUGAGGAAACUGAAAUGUAGAAAGAUUAUGUACACUGUUGAAGGUAACACUAAGCCACUGCCUCCUUCAUAUCAAGAAUAGUUGUUCAUCGAGCAAAUAAAGUGAGGGAAAGACAUUACAAGCAGAGAAAUCAACAUACACACUAUUGUGGCUGGACUUCAGGCUACAGGGUGGUUCCAAAUAUUUAUUGACAAGGCCCUGUGUUACGUGCUGAGGAUACAGAGAUAAAUAAACCAGCUGUCCUAAAGCCGCUGACACUAGUGAGAGAAACCUUAAAAAAAAUACAAUGCAGACUAAAUAAGUGCUGUGAUAGAGGCUAAUGUUCACGGUAUUGGAAAAUGAUAAGAAAACAGCAGCCGGAGAGAAUGUGAGAAAGCCAGUGAAGGUGCUGCUUUAGCAGAGUCCAAAUGUCAAGAGUUAUCCCCUACUAACCCUGAAAUUGUUCUGGGAUAGGGUCUAAAGAAUGAAAUCCAAAGAACAACAGAGAAGAACACCAGAGAAUACUUGGAGAGAGGAAACAAAUUGCUCUAACCAAUGGAGUUUUAAAUGGUCUAGUUUAAAAUAGGUUGAAUUUACCUAGGUGUUAUGAGAACUUAAGAACUUACAUAAGUGGCAUUCAUUGGUAUGGUCAAAGAGGUUAGGUAAGGCUUCUUUGAGGAAGUCACACCAGAAUGGAGAUCCAAAAGAUGAGAAACUGAAAAAGGGAGAGUGGGAAACAGAGGGAAUAUCAUGUGUAAAGCCUUUUUGUCAGAAGGGAACACUGCAAGCCUGAGGGACUGAAAGGAGGCUAUUGUGGCUAGAGCCUAGGUUGCAGGGAGAAAGUGCACCAGUUUGAAGCUGGAGACCAGAUUAAGCAGAGUCUUAUUGGCCAUAUUAAGAACUGUAAUCUUAAGAGAAAAAGGGAGGGGGAGGGCAUUUGACAUGAUUGGAUCUGUGUUUUGAAAAGAUCAUUCCAGCUGCAGUGUGGGAACACAAGCAGAGCCAGCACUGGACUAAUUAAAUCUAUGAGUGGUGUUAGUGUUGGUAGGCAUGCAAGUGGCUUGGGGUAGGAACAAGGAGAUGGACAGAAGUGGGGGAAAUGGAACAAUAGGAAGUAAAGUGGAAGGUCUUGGUGAUGGAUUCAAAUAUCAUGGGGUGGGAUGGGGACUGAGGGAGAGGGAGGAGUCAGAUAACUCAGAAUUUCUAGCAGACCCAGUGGGUGGAUAGUAAUGCCAUCAUUGAGAUAUGGAGGACACUGGAAGAGAGCCAGGUUUGGGGGAAGAGGGUAAUUUCAAUUUGAACACGUUAAGUUUAAGAUAUUUUUGUGACUUCAAGGGAAGAUGUAAACAUUGGAAUCUUUAGGUCUGCAGCACUGGGCUGGAGAAAAAAAUAUAUAUUACCAUUUGCAAUUUUUUGUUUUCUGCAGGGUACUUAUUUUUUCAAAAUACAUAUGUCUUUAUUGUAAAUAAGAUGUUUUGUUUUUAAACAUAUUUAGACGCACUUGAACCCAGGAGCCAGAGGGUUGCAGUGAGCUGAGAUGUCACCAUUGCACUCCAACCUGGGCAACAAGAGCAAAACUCAGUCUCAAAAAAUAAAUAAAAAUAUAUUGAGAACAGAAUUUUAAACUAGAGCAGUUUCCCAGACUUCUCUGAGAGUCACCAGUGUCCCUUAUCAAAAACUCAAAUUCUCAGGCCCAUCCCCUAGAGAUUCUGAUUUCACUUGUCUGGUAUAGGGGGCCUGGAAAUGUGGAUUUUUUGACAAAUGCCACUGGAGAUUCUUCUUAUUGCUGAGUUUCUCUGGGAAGUGGUAUGCCAGUGCCAGAGGCUACCUGCAUAAGAGUCACCACAGUGCUUAUUGAAAUAUAGAUUCUCGGGCCCUGCAGACUAAAUCUAUAGGGAUAGAAGGGUUGUGAGGAAUGGAAAAAGGAACAUGGUACCAUGUCAGGUGGUCCAAGACCUCACCCUUCAUCUUUGACAGAGAUGUUCUGCGCGUCCCACUGGGCAGCCCAGAGGAAAGUGGAUGUCCCUUGCUGGGUGAUGCGUAUUUAGGCAGCAGGCAGCCCUCACAGUCUGCAAUGAUAACAGCUCUUAACCUAGGCCUUCUGCCCUGUCCACUGACAUGGCACUCAGCCCACUUAGAUAGUCUCUUUUUCCACCAUUCUUAUCAAGGCCCAUUGUUCCCUCCUGGCCCCCAAAUCUUUUUCAAUGUUAUUUCCAGCACCCUGUCUUUUUACUCCUGGUUCAGGUGUUUUUCAGCCAAUCUCUGUGGCCAGAGCUGGGAGAGAAAUUGGGUCAAAUGCUAUGUUUCAGUCUUGACAAGGCUUUUUUGUUCUUGAGAACCGACUUUGGAAGUGUUUUUAAAGACUGAGCUGUGUCAGGGAGGAAAAACUUUUCCUCUGCGCUCUCUUGUUUCCUCUUUGGGGGCCUGCAAAUUAAAACAACAAAGAUAGCAAGAGAAAAAAGACAUUUAAUUACAUAUGUACACACACACAGAGAGAGGGAGAAAGAAAGAGAAAUUCACAAAUAACUGACCCUAGGUGGUUAGAAUUUAGAGCUUAUAUACCAUCUUAAUAGGGGACAAAGAAGGGCAGAGAGGCCCUUCUAGGAGAGUAAAUGACUUCUUCAAAGGAAGUGAGGGAGAGACAAAGCAUUUAGAGAAAACAAAACACUUUUUGGAAAGAUAAAUGGACUUUUAGGAGAAUAGAUGGAAGAUACGAUAGUUUUGUAGCAAUGUCUGGGUGUGGUGCAGAUGUCUCCUCAGAGAAGAAAAUAUUAGAAUUGCUCCCCAGGAGGGGAUUUAUUACAAUUGAGGUCUUUUGGGAGGCUUUACUUUUAGGCACAUAAGGGAUUUCAGGAACUCAAGUCCUUCAGCUCAAAAUAACUUUUAUGCCAUGGUAGCUUAUUCUGAACCCCUUCAAUUAUUUGUUCUUGUAGUCUUGCUGUAGCAAUCCCAAGUCUCUUUGAGACACUGUAGAUGCUUUGGAAUAGAGGAAGAAUCAGAACAUAUGAAGAAAAGAAAUGAUUAGAAUGAUUUGUUGGUGAUGGCAAGCAUACAGAAAAGUUUCUAAAACUGAAGUAUACUAUUGAGCACGAUAACACACUCAUGUAACCCCAUAUGGGCCAAAGUAGAACAUUCAACACUCCAAAAGGCCCCAAUGUGCUCCUUCCCUUAUAACCUUCAAGUGCCUAGAGAUGGCCACAUCAUGAUUAUUACCAUAUUUACUUUCUUGUUUUUCUUUCUGGUUUUACUGCCUAAUUACUCAUCCUUAAACAAUAUUAUUUUUGAGCUCUAUGUAAAUGGAAUCACAGAGUUUUUCAUUUACAUGUCUUGAACUUUUUUGAUCAAUCUGUCUUUAAGAUUUACCCAUGUUGAUAUGGCUGUAGUUUAUUCAUUUUCAUUGCUGUAGGUUACUAUAUUGCAUUGGUGUAUCAUAAUUUAUUCUACUGCUGAUGGACAUAUAGGCUAUUUCUAGCUUUAGGCUAUUAUAAGCAAUGCUGCUGUGAAAGUUUGUGUAAACACACACACAUAUGUAUGUUCUCUUUAAGUACAUAUGUGUGUGUGUGUGUGAAUGUAUAUAUAUAUAUAUAUAUAUGUUCUAGAGCAUAUAAACACAGAUUUCUUUGGAGUCUUUACCUUGGUAUGUAAUUCCUGGUUUGUAGAGCAUGUAUAUAUUAAUAUAUUCAGUUUUACAAGAUCGUGCCAAAAUUUUCCAAAAUGAUUGUACCAAUUUAUAUAACCAACAACAAUAUACAAAAGUUUCUGUUGCACUACAUCCUCACCAACACUUGAUAUUGUCAGACAUUUUAAGUUUUAUUACUGUAAUGAAUGUGUAAUGCUGUUUUAUUGUGGCUCUAUUUUGCAUUUCCCUGAUUUUUAAUGAAGAAUAGCCCCUUUUUAUAUGAGUGUUGUCUAAUUGUUUAGGUCUUUCCCCAUUUUUCUGUUGGGUUGUUUGUAUUUUUCUUACUUUUUGUAUUAAUCUGUUAUAUAAUGUUGAAACAAGUUUUAUUGAUUAUAUGUGCUACAAAUGUUUUUCCCACUUUGUGGCUUGUACUUUCACUGUCUUAAUGUCUUUUGAUGAAACCAAGUUGUCAGUGGAGUAGAAUUCAUCACUCUUCCCUUAUGAUUAAUGAUAUCUGUAUCCUAUUUAAGAAAUAUUUUCCAACCCUAAGAUCAUUAAGACUUUUAUAUUGUCUUCUAAAAUUUUAUUGCUUUGCUUUUUAAAUUUUGGUCUAGGCAGACCUGCAAUUAAUGUUCUUACAUAUGGAGAAAGGGAGGCAUAUAUAGAUCCCCAACCCCUUCCAUGUGGAAAAUUAGACUAGCACCAUUUGUUGAAAGAUGGUCCUCUCUGCCCUACCCUGCAGUGCCAUCUUGAUCAUGAACCAAGUAGUCAUAUAAGUAUGGAGUUGUUUCUGACCUUGGUAUUCUUUCCAUUAGUCUAUUAUCUUUUUUUGUAUGUUGCUGGAUUCAAUAUACUCACAUUUUGUUUAAGAUUUCAGGGGAUCUCACAAAUAAGACUGACCUGUAAUUUUCCUUUUGGUAAUGUCUUUCUCUGAAUUUGGUAUCAAAAUAUGCUAGCUACCUUCAUUAAAUGAGUUGGGGAAUACACUUUCUUUUUCCUAUUCAGUUGUCUUUUUUACCCAUUUAUUCUUCUUGUUUUUGGAAUCAAGUUGUCAAGAACCCCCAAAACUCUAUGUGGAUUUUUAUUAAAAUUUCUGUUUGUAUAUUAAUUUCAGGGAAAACAAUAUUCUUCUAUAUGAGCCUUUCCUUUCAGUAAUCUGCAUUUAUUCAAGUGUCCUCAUAUAUGUUUUCCAAAAAUUUUAUCAUUUUCAUUAUAUAGGUCAUGUAUCUUAUAGGAGGCAGAAUUCUAAAGUCCCUCUAAGUUUUCCACCCCUAGUCAGUAAAACACUAAUCUAGGCACUGCUAAGAAUGUACAGAUGUAAUUAAAUUUAUAGAUCUUAAAGUAGGGAAAUUAUUGUAGAUAUCUGGUUGGCCCAGUCUAACCAAUUGAGCCCUCAUAAAAAGAGAAAUUUCUUCAGCUGGAGUCAGUCAGAUGUGGCAAAAAAGAAAAGCUGAGAAAAGAUGAGGCAGAAAGAUCAGAGACAUUCAAAUCAUAAAAAGGCUUGAUGCCACCACGUGGUGGCUCACACCUGUAAUCUCAGCACUUUGGGAGGCUGAGGCGGGCAGAUCGCUUGAGCUCAGGAGUUCGAGACCAGCAACAUGGUGAAACCUUGUCUCCACUGGGUAAUACGGUGAAACCCUGUCUCCACCAAAAAUACAAAAAUCAGCCGGGCGUGGUGGCACAUGCCUGUGGUCCCAGCUACUUUGGAAGCUGAGGCAGUAGGAUCUCUUGAACCCAGGAGGCAGAGGUUGCAGUGAGCUGAGAUCACACCACUGCACUCCAGCCUGGGUGACAGAGCGAGACUCCAUCUCGAAAGAAAGAAAGAAAGAAAGAAAGGCUUGGUGCAUCGUUGCUGACUUUGAAAAAAAAUGGCCAAGGAAUGCAGGUAGCUUCUAGAAGCUGAGAAUGGCUCCUGGCUGACAGAUAGCAAGCAAUGGAGAGCUCAGUCCUACAAGUGCAUGGAACUAAAUUCUGUCAACCACCUAAUGAGCAGGAAACAGAUUCUCCCUUAGAGCCUCCAGAAAGGAACAAAGUAAGUAAUACCUUGAUUGCAGCCUUGUAAAACCUAGCACAGAGAGCUAGCUGAGUCACUCUGUGCCUGGAUUUCUGACCUACAGAACUGUGAGAUAAUAAAUGAGUGUGAUUUUAAGCUGGUAAAUUAUGGUAAUACGUUAUGGGAGGAAAAGAAAACGAAUAUAUAUCUUAUCAGGCAAAAAUAUUUUGGGUAGCUCAUCAGGUAGGCCUUUAAGUAGAAUGAGUCCAUGAAGGUCACACUACUCAAAUCCUGUGGCUGAGAUUGUUUCACCUUUUAGAAUUUUGACUAAAAAUGCAUACGCUGUAUAUAUAAGGCAGAUGGUACUUGGAGCUGCUAUCAGCUACCUCCUGAAAGUGGGCUUGGUAGACAAGAUAGAUAGUACUUGGGAAAAGAAGGAAGUAAAUAGAGGAAAAACACAGCACCAAAAGCCAAGAGCAUGGAGUAAGAGCAGAAUGAGCAGCAUGGCUUCUCAGCCUCUGUUUGCUCACUUCUGAUUUGGACCCAUCCAUCACACUCUCCUGAAAUAAAUGUGUGCUAAAUGUGGUUCACAUGUUCCACUUAAAAAGAGAGAAAAUAAAGUCUAGAUCUCUGUGAAGUAACUCUGCAAAUAUUGAAUGUAUUUCGACACUGACAUUUUUCAAGUCUAACAUUAAAGAUUUCUAUUGUCAUAAAUAAUGCAUAAAUCCAGAGACCGUUUGUGUCUGAAAGGCAUGAUUUAAAAUUAGAACACAAGGUGUCCUGGCAUGUAUACCUGUCUCAAAACUCCAUGUGAGCUCAAUCUAGUUAUCAAAAAAGAGAAGAACAAUUCCUUCUUACAAUUAAAAAAAGUUCUCAUUCUGAUAAUAUAUAUAUAUUAGCUAAGUAGGUUAAAAAUAUACAUUCUUGGCUUUGUGCUCAGUAACUCCAAAAGGUGACAUUCUAAUGCUUCCUAAAAAAUAAAUGAUACACAUGACAAAUCAGGUAGCUGGUGAAACUUGAGUCUUCCCUAGAAUGCCUGUAAAGCUUACACAUAAAAUAAGGAAGAUGUAGCUUUAGCUAAUUCAGACUGAAAUUUAUUGUUAAUAGGAGUCAUAAGAGUGCAUGGUAUUUCACAAAGCAUAAAAUAUAAAAGACAGAUUUCCUGCCCUGAGGAGCUUAGUGAAACAUGUGCAGACAGUAGGUAACAGGAAAAAUAUUAAGUCAUGGUGAUUUACAAAGUGGUCACCAAUGGAAGACCGAGUACAAGAAGAUGCCUUAUAAAAAUGUCUGGUUUUUGGAAAAAGAUCUUGCAAAAGCUUGAAGAAAGAAUGAAAAAGAGAUGAGUGAAAUGAGAGUUCUAAAAAUGAUGAAAGAGGAAAAACUGAAGGGAGAGGUGGAGAAAAAGGCUCAGGCUGCUGUGAGACAUGAACCAAUAUAUGAAUUAUAGAAUAUAGGACUGAUUUGACAAACCUCUGAAAAUAGACAACCGGAAAUUCUAACUAUACAUCUCAUUUCUUAUAAAACUUAAGAGAUAGUUUUCUCAAAUAAUAGGCACUAGACCAAACUUCUUGUUCAAGCCAUAUUAUAUGUCUAUAAGAUAUGUACAUAUAAAUAAAAUUCCAUGUAGAUCUGUAUACUGCUGAAUUGUGAAUAAUUUUAAAAGUUUGAUUUUUUUGAGUUAUAGUGUGAAAGUAACUUCCCCUUAGAAGAUAUAUUCAAAAGCGCUAGUUUUCUUUAUACAUACAUAUGUUACAGAAAAUACCCAAUGCUAUAGCAAUACUGAAAUCAGAACCAAUAUUUCCCUACAAGAUAAAGACCAAAUUCCUGUACAGUAUAUUCAAGGCCUGUAUCAUCUCCAGACUCCACCUUUGUGGACCAGACUUCUCUUUAUUCCUACAAUAGGCUGUAUUCAUAAAAUUGUCUGUCCCAGUAAUUUGCCUAUUUUUAAUUGGAUCAUUUGGCUAGGCGCAGUGGUGCAUGCUUGUACUCCCAACAUUUUGGGAGGCCAAGGUAGGAGGACUGCUUGAGCCCAAGAGGCUGAGGCUGCAGUGAACCAUGAUCACUACUGUAGUCUAGCCUGGGCAACAGAACAAGAUACUGUCUCUAAAAAACAAAGUUAAAAAAAGAAAAUUGGAUCAUUUGUCUUAAUUAAAGGGUUUUGAGCAUUAUAUAUUCUGAAUACUAAUUAAUUUUUAGACAUCUAAUUUUCAAAUAUUUCUCCAGGUCUGUGGUUUGUCUGUUUGUUCAUUUAACAUUGUCUUCAAACAGUAAAAAUUUUUAAUUUUCAUGAGGGAAAUUUAUAAUUUUGGUGUCAUAUCUAAGAAAUAUUUACCUAACCCAAGAUCACAAAUAUUUUAUCCUAUGUUUUAAUCUACAGGUUUUUACCUUAAUAUUUUGCUUUUAGGUCUUAUGGUUAUUUUGAGUUGGUUUUUUAAAGGUAUGAGGUAUGGGUUAGCAUUCAUUUUCUUUGCAUAUGGAUGUCAAACUGUUUCUGCACCAUCUGUUGAAAAGACUGUCCUUUUUCCAUUGAAUUGCCUUUGCAUCUUUGUCAAAAAUCAGUUGGCUGGCCGGGCGUGGUGGCUCACGCCUGUAACCCCAGUACUUUGGGAGGCCGAGGCAGGCAGAUCACGAGGUCAGGAAAUUGAGAUCAUCUUGGCUUACAUAGUGAAACCCCGUCUCUACUAAAAAUACAAAAAAAAAAAAAAAAAUUAGCGGGGUGUGGUGGCAUGCACCUGUAAUCCCAGCUACUAGGGAGGCUGAGGCAGGAGAAUCACUCGAACCUGGGAGGUGGAGGUUGCAGUGAGCCGAGAUCAUCACCCCUGCACUCCAGCCUAGGAGACAAAGCAAGACUCCAUCUCAGGAAAAAAAAAAAAUCAAUUGGCUGUAUAUUUGUGAGUCUAGAAAUAGACUCACUCUUCUUUUCAUUGAUCCAUGUUCUCUAUUUUUGCCUUUUGCUACACCAUGUUGGCUACUAUACCUUCGCAGUAAGUCUUGAAAUGAAGUAGUAUGAGUCCUCCAACUUUGUUCUUGUUAAAAAUUGUUUUGGCUAACCUAGUUCUAUAUGAACUUUUAAAUAAACCUCAAUUUCUAGAAAACUAUCUUGCUGGGAUUUUUAUUGGGGUUGCAUUGAUCUAUAUAUCACUUCGAGAAAAAUUGGCUUAUUAGCAAUAUUGAGUUGUCCUAUCCAUGGAUACAGUAUUUCUAUCCAUUUAUUUAGAUCUUUGAUUUCCUUUAUCAUUAUUUUGUAGUUUCCAGCAUAUAAAUCCUGCAUAGUUUUGCAUUUUAAAUUUAUAGCUAAUUAUUUCAUUUUUGGUACUAUUAUAAAUUAUACUGUGUUUUAAAUUUUGAUUCCCAAAUAUUUACUGGCAACAUUUAGAAAUAAAAAAUAUGUUUAUCUUUGUACCUUUUAUUUAUAAUAUUACUUUUCUAAAAUGAUUAAUUCAUUCUAGGACUCUUUUUAUAGAUUCCUCGGGGUUUUUUAUAUAAAAAUCACAUAGUCUGAACAGAGAGUUUUAUAUUUUCCUUUCCAAGCUGUAUUUUUUUAAAAAUCUUGUUUCUUGCCUUGCUGCACUAUCUAGUACCUCCAGGAUAAUGUUGAAAAGGAGUGGUGAAAGCAGACAUCCUUGCCUUAAACUCAGUCUUAGGGAGAAAACAUUCAAUCUUUCACUUGUAAUACAUUAGAUGUAGAUCUUUUUAUCAGGAUAAGGAGGUUUUCUAGUUUGUGGAAAAUACUUAUCAUGAAUGGAUUUUGAAUCUUGUCAAAUGCUCUCUCUGCAACUACUGAGAUGAUCAUGUGGUUUUUCUUAUUUACUAAGUUGCUAUAAUGAAUGACAUUGACUCUCAAAUCUUGAACAAGCCUUGUGUUCCUGGAAUAAACUCUAUGUGGUCAUGACAUGCUCUUCUUUUUAUAUAUUGUUAGAUUCAAUUUACUAGUAUUUUGUUAAGGAUUUCACAUCCAUGUUUAUGGGAAUAUUGCUCUCUAGUUUCCUUUCUUAUUAUGGAAUGUCUUUGUUUGGUAAAUGAGUUGGGAAGUGUUCUCUCCUCCUAUUUUCUGAGAGAAAGUGUGACGUAUUGGUAUUUGUGUUUGGUAGAACUAACCAGCAAAACCAGUUUCAUUGUUGGGAAGUUUUUAACUGCAAACUCAAAAUCUUCAAUAAAUGUAAAAUAAUUCAGAUGAUUUAGUUCUUGAGUGAGCAUUAACAGUUUAUGUAUUUCAAGAAAUUGAUUUCUUUCAUCAAAGUUGUCAAAUUUACUAGCAUAAAGUUGUUCACAGUAUUCCUUUAUUAGCUUUUGUUUGUUUGUUUUGUUUUUUAUUUUGUUUGUUUGAGACAGGGUCUCACUCUGUUGCCCAGGCUGGAGUGCAGUGGCGCAAUCUCAGCUCACUGCAACCUCCGCCUCCCAGGUUCAAGUGAUCCUCCUGCCUCAUCCUCCCGAGUAGCUGGGACUACAGGUGUGUGCCACCACACCCAGCUAAUUUUUGUAUUUUUAGUAGAGACGGGGUUUCGCCAUGUUGGCCAGGCUGGUCUUGAACUCCUUACCGCAGGUGAUCUGCCCACCUCAGCCUCCCAAAGUGCUGGAUUACAGGCAUGAGCCACUGUACCCAGCCACUUAUUAGCUUUUUAAUGUCUGUCAUGUCAGAAGGAUCAGUGAUGACGUCCCUACUUUCUUUUUUUUUCUUUUUUCUUUUUUUCUUUUUUUUUUUUGAGAAAGAAUCUCCUUCUGUUGCCCAGGCUGGAGAGCAGUGGUGUGAUCUCAGCUCACUGCAGCCUCCGCCUCCUGGGUUCAAAUGAUUCUCCUGCCUCAGCCUCCCGAGCAGCUGGGACUACAGGCACAUGCCACCAUACCCGGCUAAUUUUUGUAUUUUAAUAGAGUCGGGGUUUCACCAUUUUGGCCAGGCUAGUCUCGAGCUCCUGACCUCAAGUGAUCUGCCUGCCUCAGCCUCCCAAAGUGCUAGGAUUACAGGCGUGAGCCACCGCUCCCGGCCCUGCUACUUUCAUGUUUGAUAUUGGUGAUUUAUAGCUUCUCUCUCUCUUUUUCUCAGUCUGGCUAAAGGUUUAUCUUUUUUAAAAAAUAAGCUUUUUGUUUCAUUGAUUUUUCUCUAUUAUUUUUCUACUUGUAAUUUCAUUGACUUUUGCUUUUCAUCAUUUCCUUCUAUCUGUUUGCUUUGGGUUUAACUUGCUCUUCUCUCAUUUCUUAAGUGGAAAUUUUGGUCACUGAUGUAAGACAUACUUAUUUUCUAAUCUUAGCAAUUAAUGCUACAGGUUUCUUACUAAUCACUGUUUUAGCUCCAUCCCCAUAUUUUGAUGUUAUAUUUUUAUUUUCCUUCAAUCAAAAUGUUUUCUAAUUUCCCUUGUGACUUUCUCUUUUACCCAUGUUGUAUUUAGAAAUUGUGUUGUGUGUGUUAUAUCCAAAUAUAUGGUGAUUUUCCAAAUAUCUUUUUGUGGUUUAUUUCUAAUUUAAUUAUUUGAUGAUCUGAGGUCACGGUUUGUAUUAUUAUUUUUUUUAAUUUGUUGUGGCCGGGUGUGGUGGCUCACGCCUGUAAUCCCAGCACUUUGGGAAGCCAGGGCACAGAUCAUCUGAGGUCAGGAGUUCGAGACCAGUCUGGCCAACAUGGCCAAACCCCAUCUCUAUUAAAAAUACAAAAAUUUGCCAGGUGUGGUGGCACACACCUGUAAUCCCAGCUACUCGGGAGGUUGAGGCAGGAAAAUCGCUUGAACCCAGGAGGCAGAGGUUGCAGUGAUCUGAGAUCGCACCAUUGCACUCCAGCCUGGGUGACAGAGCGAGACUCCAACUCAGAAAAAAAAAGAAAUUUGGGCCAAGCGGGGUGGCUAACGCCUGUAAGCCCAGCACUUUGGGAGGCCGAGGCAGGUGGAUUGCUUGAAUCAGGAGUUUGAGACCAGCCUGGCCAACAUGGUGAAACCCUGUCUCUACUAAAAUACAAAAAUUAGCUGGGCGUGGUGGUGGGCGCCUGUGAUCCCAGCUACUAGGGAGGCUGAGGCAGGAGAAUCACUUCUACCCAGGAGGCAGAGGUUGCAGUGAGCCAAGAUCGUGCCACUGCACUCCAGUCUGGGCAACAGGGUGAGGCUCUGUGUAAAAAAAAAAAAAAAAAAAAACAUUGUUAUAGUUUGUUUUAUUGGCCAGAAUAUUGUCUUUCUAGAUAAAUGUUCCAUAUACAACAUUUGAAAAGAAUGUGCAUACUAAUAUUGUUGGGUGGAGUACUCUAUAAAUGUCAAUUAAAUAUAGUUGGUUUCAAAAGUAUUGUUCCAGUCUUUCAUAUCCUUAUAACAUUCUGUCAACUUCUAUCAAUUACUAGGAGGCGGAUGUUAAAGUCUUUAUAUGUAAUUGUGGAUUUAUUGCUACCAUGUUUUGCUUUAUGUAUUUUGAAGCUCUGUUGUUAGGUAUAAACACAUUUAAGAUUGUUAUAUCUUCUUGGUGAAUUCACUGUUUAUCAUCAUGUGAUGUUUCUUUAUAUUCCUGAUAGUAUUCUUUAUUCUAAAGACUAUUUUGCCUAACAUUAAGAUAGCUACUCCAGCAUUGUUUUGAUUAGUGAUUGUGUGGUAUACCUUUAUUCAUACUUUUACUUUAAGCCUAUCCUAUAGCUUUAUACUUGAAGUGGGUUUCUUGUAAACAAUAUCUAGUCAGGCCUUUUUUAUACAAUCUUACAAUAUCUACUUUUUUACAGUUUUUUGUUUGUUUGUUUUUGGUUUUGUUUUUUGAGAUGGAGUCUCGCUCUGUCGCCCAGGCUGGAGUGCAGUGGCACGAUCUUGGCUCACUGCAAGCUCCGCCUCCCGGGUUCAAACUAUUCUCCUUCCUCAGCCUCCUGAGUAGCUGGUAUUACAGGUGGGUGCCACCACACCCGGAUAAUUUUUAUAUUUUUAGUAGAGACGGGGUUUCACUGUGUUAGCCAGGAUGGUUUCGAACUCCUGACCUCAUGAUCCGCCCGCCUUGGCCUCCCAAAGUGCUGGGAUUACAGGCGUAAGCCACCACGCCUGGCCCUUUUUUACAGUUUUAUUGAGAUAUAAUUUAUAUAUGCCUUUUGAUAUUGUCCCACAGGUCCCUGAGGCUUUGCUUAUUGAUUUUUCAAUCUAUAAUGUGUUUCUCAGAUUAGAUGCUAUCUAUUAUCUAUCUUCAAGUUCAUCAACUCUUCCUCUGUCAUCUGCAAUUUGCUAUUGAGCCCAUCCAGUGAAUUUUUGAGUAUGCUAUUUUUUAGGUCUAAAAUUUUCAUUUAGGUUUUUUAAAAAUAAUUUCUAACUAGGUGGUGGCCACUGCACAAACUAGAUUCUGCUCACUCUGGGCCUCACUCCACUUCCUCUGUGACAGAUCAUAUGACACAUGAUAUGUCAAGACAUAUCAUGUCUGACAAACCUGAUAUGGCUGAGAUCAAGAAAUUUGAUGUCAAAAAUAGAAGAAGACAGAAUUGCAAGAGAAAAAUCCACUGCCUUCCGAAGAAACAAUAGAACAGGAGAAGCAGGCAGACAAAUCUUACGGAGGCAUGCGCCGCCAAUAUGCACUGUACAUUCAACGAGAAUUGCCUUCUUAUUUUACUUAUUUUAGCUGUUAAUUUUGUAAGAUGCAAAGAGGUUGGAUCAACUUUUAAAGGACUUUGCUGCCCUUUUCACAUCAAACAAUAGAAAACUGCUGACGAUGAAGGCCACACCUACCUCUCCCAUCUGCUUGUCUGGCUGUCAAGGAAGGAAAAUAACUUGCAUGUUGGUGAAGGAAGAAGAAGAGUAGGAAGACAGGUAAAUCUAGAGUAAAACCAAGCUGCCCCAAGGUGUCCUGCAGGUUCUCAAAUGCAGUUUAAAUGAAGUUUAAUUAGAGUGCCA
This 14998-nucleotide long non-coding RNA is filed under the name Homo sapiens (human). RNAcentral's name for it is "non-protein coding lnc-HOXD13-3:6". The record is from RNAcentral. Lineage: Eukaryota; Metazoa; Chordata; Mammalia; Primates; Hominidae.